GCCUGGGAUGGCUCAGUUGGUAGAGAGCAUGAAACUCUUAAUCUCAGGGUCAUGGGGCAAAAGAUUCCUGUAUUACAGGGGCUUGGGCU
This is a non-coding RNA of Podarcis lilfordi (Lilford's wall lizard), 89 nucleotides long. The record is from the annotation of a GenBank genome assembly. NCBI's taxonomy places the organism in Eukaryota, Metazoa, Chordata, Lepidosauria, Squamata, Lacertidae.